AAGUCGUAACAAGGUUUCCGUAGGUGAACCUGCGGAAGGAUCAUUACCUUUCUGCCCUUCGGGGCACAGUGGGGGUCUAUACUUGUAUAGCCUCCAUCUGCAUCCUUGUCUUUUGCGUACUACAUGUUUCCUCGGCGGGCUUGCCCGCCGGUUGGACCAUUAUAAACUCUUUGCAAUUGCAAUCAGCGUCUGAAUAAUUUUAAUAAUUACAACUUUUAACAACGGAUCUCUUGGUUCUG
Molecule: unclassified non-coding RNA, 239 nt
Filed under: air metagenome
Description: partial contains small subunit ribosomal RNA, internal transcribed spacer 1, and 5.8S ribosomal RNA
Rfam family: Eukaryotic small subunit ribosomal RNA (bases 1-46)
Source: RNAcentral